GUCUACAGCCAUACAACCCUGAACAUGCCCGAUCUCGUCUGAUCUCAGAAGCUAAGCAGGGUUGGGCCUGGUUAGUACUUGGGUAGGAGAAACCUCAAGAGUUUAACACA
Ribosomal RNA from Erinaceus europaeus (western European hedgehog), 110 nucleotides. NCBI's taxonomy places the organism in Eukaryota, Metazoa, Chordata, Mammalia, Eulipotyphla, Erinaceidae. The record is from Ensembl.